UAGGGAAUUUUCGGCAAUGGGGGGGAACCCGUGACCGAGCAACGCCGCGUGAAGGAAGAAGGAAUUCGUUCUGUAAACUUCUGUUAUAAAGGAAGAAAGACGGAUGGAGGAAAUGACAUCCGAGUGACGGUACUUUAUGAGAAAGCCACGGCUAACUACGUGCC
RNAcentral lists this ribosomal RNA (164 nucleotides) under uncultured bacterium. Its description in RNAcentral is "partial 16S ribosomal RNA". It matches the Rfam family "Bacterial small subunit ribosomal RNA", at positions 355 to 509 of the family's 1533-position model. The record is from RNAcentral.